RNAcentral lists this long non-coding RNA (4206 nucleotides) under Homo sapiens (human). RNAcentral's name for it is "HSALNT0271448". The record is from RNAcentral. Lineage: Eukaryota; Metazoa; Chordata; Mammalia; Primates; Hominidae.
CUCCUAUAUUCUUUUAGAACACAAUGAAAGGAAAUUAUUUGCUUUUUAUGAGAAACUGAUAUACUUUCUCUCCAUAGAUGAUGAAAAUAACUUUCUUUGACUACCAAGAAAUAUAUAAUCAAAUUUGUAGACCACUUUUAAUUUUUUAAAAAAAUCCUGGAUCUGUAUUUUUUACCUUCCUGACCUCUUACUAUAAUUUAUCUUUUCUCUGGUCCUGAAUCUCUGUAAGCUGACUUGCUUUCAGGGGAAUGACACUGUGCACAUAAUACAGCAUCACCUGGGUCUUCCAAGAUUUGGUCUCCACCAUCACCUCACCACCACCCUGUCCCACCUGUCCACAAACAGUUUGGAAGUUUCCUCUUUUCAGCUUUCCUCUUUCCAAACUUAAGCUUCCGUAUGUACAAUGUAGCUCUCUCCUACUUAAAGAAAAAUAAAUUCAGAGUGAUCCUCCUAAAGUUGUGAAAUAAGAUCAGUCUGUAGUUUUUCCAUCUGUCCUCCGUUGAGUCCUCCUGGUCAGGCUCCCAGGACCUCCAACAUGUGAGAUUUGUGCCUCUACUUGACCCUUGGCAUCGAACCAAGCCAAAUUCCUCUUCAGAUGUAGAUGGGCAAUGUUUUCUAAUUUACACAGGGCUUGUACCUUACCCCAUUUACUCAAAUAAAUAAUAACACUUAAAUUUUCUACAUUACAUGCACACGUUUCUCAAAAAAAUUAUCUACGGAAUUUAUCUUAAUUGUAUUUAUUUUAAAUAUUUCUGGGAAAGCAUUCCUAGGGAAGACUUCUUAGUUCCAUUUAUUGUCAAAGAGGAAAUGGAGUGGGGCCUUUUAUUUUUUGUGUGUGUUAAAUAUAGAGUAUUAAUUGGUAUAAAUAUUCCGGGUAGAAUUUCUAAAUAAAUUCAAAACAUGCUUUGUUUUUAGAAAAGAUACAUAUUAAUGCCCUAAACCUAAACUAAAACUAAACCAGAUGAAAUGCUGUGUCUUAACGCAAGUCAGGCACCAUUUACUUGCCUCCCAAAGUUUCCAGUCAAUCUACCUUCAAGUUGCACAGUGCUUUCCAUUCAGCAGGAAUGGCUGCUGUUCUAAAUGCUGAAGAUUUUUAUUUUCUCAUUUAUAUCCUUUUAACAAGUAAUUAAUGGGUUUAAAUACCUUCCUGCAUGAUUACAAUUUUCUCUUAUUAGCUUUUAGCUGUGUGUGAUAUUCAACAUCCAUUCCUCUUUGUUUUUAGAAAGUACUUUUUAAAAAUCUGAAGUUUAAACACAGGGUAUAAAAUUUCUAUUUGUUUUAUAUUUCCAUAACAUCAAAUAAUAAUCUCUCUAAACUUAUAUUUUGAAAUACAAAAUACUUCCUUCUUCCUCUGGAUCAACAAAAUGGGUUUAAUUAAUCUUAUGCCCUUAUUUAAGGUUUUAGGAAAUAAUAAUCGCCAUUCUUUAGCAGGCAAAAAUUAUGGAUACAGUAGUUACAAUAAAUUAACUCAAAUGAUCUCACAAAUGAAAAAAUUUUCCCGGUUAAGAGUGUAAAAACUCUACUGUCCUAAAUUGUCUCCCAGUCACACUACUGUUACUUAAACAACAUAUCUCAGUAAAAGUACAGACGUCAUUUCACAUUUGUCAACUCACUAAUUUAAUAACCACAUGAAAAGGCAAUAGAAUUAUAAAACAUGUCAUUUUUCCAAUACUCUAAUGAAAUUUUUCAUGUAUAUGAAAAUUCACUUACUUGAUUAUGCAUUUUCAUUACUAUUACUUUGAAAAUUUAUCAAAACAAAAGGAGUUGUAUCGUAGCCAAAAAGACUUUUUAAAUAUAAAAUUUGGUCUAAGUAAGAUAAUAUUUUAUAAUAACAUGAACUACGAAACUACAACUAUAUAUAUGAAAAAAUAUUGAUUUUGGUAAAAACUUUCCAGCUUGAUCCAAAAAAUUUUUUAUUUUUAAAACAAUCUAUAUCUAGUUACUUAUCAACUGAUUUCCAGUUGUUCAACUGACUAUAAACUGCUUUUUGUUUACAAAAAUAAAUUAUGGUAACAAUUUAAGUACUAAAAUAUUUGAGGUUUUUCUUUAAGGUUAAUGUAAAUUUAGUGCUGACAUUUUAAAAAUUACUAUUAAGAUGGCCAUUGAUUACAAUGAUUAGUGAAUAUAAUCAAAAUCAUGAAACCAAAUUAUUUAAGUGGACAAGCUGCUGAAGCAAUCAUAUUCAUUUAGAGGUGAGAAAGUGCAAGUUGUCUUUUUAACUGAAAUCACAGUAAAAUCAAGAAAAAAAAGAAACUCCCAUUCACAUUCUAAGUAAAAUUACAUGACCAAAAAAAGUUAUUUGCAUAUAUAAAAAUGCUUUCAAACUAAGGUGGAUGUGUGCAUAGAAAUCCCUAUGAAGAACCCAGAUUUUGUUUCUGGGAAAAGUUAGCACAUUCUCCUGGCAAAUCUUUCAGAGUCUAUCAUUAAAUUACCAGCUAUAGAGAAGGCUUUUACCAAGAUAGCUAAAUUUCUAGUUGAUAACUUUAAGAUUUGUUUAAAAAAAUAACUUCAGUAUUGCAAAUAAUAAGAAUUAAUUUUUCUUUCUACAGACUAAAAGGUUUUGUUAUACUCCCAAAUCUGUGCCAUCUUCUGCCUGACACACUAUUUAGAGCUGCUCUUUUGUGUUAGUUGUUUUUCAAACUUCACUAGAUGAUCUCAGGAACCUCUAGGGAUUUAAAUCAUCAUGAACAAAUGAUAGCGUCAGACUGAUACGCUAUUAAAGCAAAAGAUAACUUACAUUCGUAACACUAGUUAUAAAUAAUAAUAGGACAUUAGAGAGUUUUAUUAGAAGAAAAAUUGCCUGAAAAACUUCCUCCUAUUAGGUUAACCUUCUAGAAUUUCUCAAACAAACCAAAUUAUUUCUGCAAAAUCAAAGUCAAUACCUGAGUCUGUUUAUAAAAAUCACCAAUUCACAAUGCAACUAUUUUUUUCUUUUCAUUUAACAUUUUUAAAUGAUUUCUUGUCUUCUUUUGUGUUUUAGCUGAAUUUGUGUGCAGCACAUUGUUGCUCCAGCUUAAAAACCUCCUGUGUGGUAAAUGCUUGGCAGCCCUGGGGAAGGCAAUGAACACGGUGAAAUUCAGUGCAGUGUGGUAAGACAAGGAGAGCAUGAAUAAUAUUUGGAGAUCUAGCACACCUUAGUGGAAACAAUUAUUAUUACAACUGCUUUGAAGACAUUUGAAUUUUAAACUCCAUUGUUUGUGAAAUUCUAUUUUGACUAAAUAGAGGGACUUUGUUCAGGCUUUUGUUGUCUUUAGCAUGAUGUGUUUCUUUCCUAAACUCCACACAGAUAAGAAGAUAAAUUUGAUCAUGAAUUUCUAAAAGUAGAAAUCAUAGGUUUUUUAGAAUUAGCAUAAAAUUAUUGUACAACCCUCCAUGGGCUAUCAAAUUGGGAGCAAUCCAAUUUUAUUUGCCAUCAUGGUCACAUAUAAAGUGUCAGAUUAUUCUUGUUAGAUGAUUAUUGUACAUUUAACUUAGAAAAGCUUCUCAGGUCUGCUCCUGAGAUGCUUGAAAGACUUUUGGUUUAAAUAGGUUGCAUAUGUUCUGCUGUUAAUGGCUGACCGUUUUUAUUUCAUAUUACUAAAAUGUAAUCAAGAAAAAGAGAGUAGAAAAUACAUCGCAAAUAUUCAGUCUACUAUCUAGACAAUUUCAAAAGCUUUCAAUUUUAUCUCCUGUUCCAUUAUCUUCAAUUGUAGAGUUUGGAUAGGAAAAGAAUUCAAAAAUAAAUACAAAACAUUCAUUCCAAUACAUGAAGAAAAUUAGCCCUGUUCAUGUACAUUUUCUAAUAUGGAUAUGUUUCUAAAAAUCAGAAUAUAAUAUUUAUGGAGUCAUUAGUAAAAUGCACUUGAUUAUCUAAGAAUCUCAACUGCUUGAUGCUUGAUCAAAAACUAGGUAGAAACUAAAUCAUGCCUAUCAACAAUUAAAUAUUUCUGAAAAGGGGACUUCCAAAAUGGUAGAAUAAGAAGCUCAGCAAAUACUUUCCCUAAAAAGUGACAACAGGGGUGGAGCCAAGAUGGCUGAAUAGGAAUAGCUCCAGUCUAUAGCUCCCAGUGUGAGCGACACAGAAGAUGGGUGAUUUCUGCAUUUCCAACUGAGGUACUGGGUUCAUCUCACUGGGGAGUGUCAGACAGUGGGUGCAGGACAAUGGAAGCAGUGCACUGAGUGUGAGCCAAAGCAGGGCAAGGCAUCACCUCACCCGGGAAGCACAAG